Molecule: microRNA precursor, 61 nt
Filed under: Scyliorhinus torazame (cloudy catshark)
Lineage: Eukaryota; Metazoa; Chordata; Chondrichthyes; Carcharhiniformes; Scyliorhinidae
Description: Sto-Mir-193-P1a_pre stem-loop
Source: RNAcentral
CGGGAUUUUGGGGGCGAGAUGAGAUGUUUAACAGGAACCAACUGGCCCGUAAAGUCCCGCU